RNAcentral lists this ribosomal RNA (496 nucleotides) under uncultured bacterium. RNAcentral's name for it is "partial 16S ribosomal RNA". It matches the Rfam family "Bacterial small subunit ribosomal RNA", at positions 29 to 507 of the family's 1533-position model. The record is from RNAcentral.
AUGAACGCUGGCGGCGUGCCUAAUACAUGCAAGUCGAGCGAACAGACGAGGAGCUUGCUCCUCUGACGUUCGCGGCGGACGGGUGAGUAACACGUGGAUAGCCUACCUAUAAGACUGGGAUAACUUCGGGAAACCGGAGCUAAUACCGGAUAAUAUAUUGAACCGCAUGGUUCAAUAGUGAAAGACGGUUUUGCUGUCACUUAUAGAUGGAUCCGCGCCGCAUUAGCUAGUUGGUAAGGUAACGGCUUACCAAGGCAACGAUGCGUAGCCGACCUGAGAGGGUGAUCGGCCACACUGGAACUGAGACACGGUCCAGACUCCUACGGGAGGCAGCAGUAGGGAAUCUUCCGCAAUGGGCGAAAGCCUGACGGAGCAACGCCGCGUGAGUGAUGAAGGUCUUCGGAUCGUAAAACUCUGUUAUUAGGGAAGAACAAAUGUGUAAGUAACUAUGCACGUCUUGACGGUACCUAAUCAGAAAGCCACGGCUAACUACGUG